This is a long non-coding RNA of Rosa chinensis, 547 nucleotides long. RefSeq lists it as uncharacterized. The record is from RefSeq and is a predicted model, not a curated record. The transcript has 4 exons. Lineage: Eukaryota; Viridiplantae; Streptophyta; Magnoliopsida; Rosales; Rosaceae.
AUCGAACCUUAGUGGGGAAAGACACGUACUAACUACACCACCGCUGGAGCAAUGCGCAAUCUUCUGCUGAUAGGAGGAAACUGUUUAUAUAUAUACGAUCUCUAACAUAUGUACAGAAACUCUGGAGGCCCCCGGGAGCCGGUGGCCUGAGGCAGCCCUCAGGGCCGGCCUUGGAAUCAGGAGCUGGAACUCUAGAAAUCUGGAGGUGGCAAGUCUAGUACCUAUAUGGUUCCUUGAGUUGCUAGAUACAUAGAUAAACAAGGGAGAGAGAGAAAAAGAGGGUUUUGGUAUCUUAGAAGUGGAGGAGUAAAAAGUCAGGAACUUGUUUUCAUCCGGAUACUUAACGUGAAAAUCAAUCAAGGUGACAAAUAAAUAAGUUUGAAGUUAUUUUACUGCAAGGGUGUUUUUAAUAAUGUAAUAUACAUGUGUGUUAUUGUUAAUCAUGCUUGGGUCCUAGACAAGAACUUGGAAUAUAGUUGACCUUUUGUUGUAAAUGUUGUUGUAAACCCCUCUUGUAAUAAAGGUUGUGUUUCAAUUUCGAAAACUU